Molecule: ribosomal RNA, 420 nt
Filed under: uncultured bacterium
Lineage: Bacteria
Description: partial 16S ribosomal RNA
Rfam family: Bacterial small subunit ribosomal RNA
Source: RNAcentral
AUAUUGGACAAUGGGGGCAACCCUGAUCCAGCCAUGCCGCGUGUGUGAAGAAGGUCUUCGGAUUGUAAAGCACUUUAAUUUGUGAGGAAGGUCUGUAGGUUAUUACCCUGAAGUUUUGACGUUACCAACUGAAUAAUACCCGGCUCACUCUGUUCCAGCAGCCGCGGCAAUACAGAGGGUGCAAGCGUUAAUCGGAAUUACUGGGCGUAAAGCGCGCGUAGGUGGUUCAGUAAGAUGGGUGUGAAAUCCCCGGGCUUAACCUGGGAACUGCUUUCAUAACUGCUGAGCUAGAGUACGGUAGAGGGUAGUGGAAUUUCCUGUGUAGCGGUGAAAUGCGUAGAUAUAGGAAGGAACACCAGUGGCGAAGGCGACUACCUGGACUGAUACUGACACUGAGGUGCGAAAGCGUGGGGAGCAAAC